Molecule: ribosomal RNA, 615 nt
Filed under: Salmonella enterica subsp. enterica serovar Infantis
Lineage: Bacteria; Pseudomonadati; Pseudomonadota; Gammaproteobacteria; Enterobacterales; Enterobacteriaceae
Also listed under: 5 other names
Description: partial 23S ribosomal RNA
Rfam family: Bacterial large subunit ribosomal RNA
Source: RNAcentral
GACCUUGAAAUACCACCCUUUAAUGUUUGAUGUUCUAACGUGGACCCGUGAUCCGGGUUGCGGACAGUGUCUGGUGGGUAGUUUGACUGGGGCGGUCUCCUCCUAAAGAGUAACGGAGGAGCACGAAGGUUGGCUAAUCCUGGUCGGACAUCAGGAGGUUAGUGCAAUGGCAUAAGCCAGCUUGACUGCGAGCGUGACGGCGCGAGCAGGUGCGAAAGCAGGUCAUAGUGAUCCGGUGGUUCUGAAUGGAAGGGCCAUCGCUCAACGGAUAAAAGGUACUCCGGGGAUAACAGGCUGAUACCGCCCAAGAGUUCAUAUCGACGGCGGUGUUUGGCACCUCGAUGUCGGCUCAUCACAUCCUGGGGCUGAAGUAGGUCCCAAGGGUAUGGCUGUUCGCCAUUUAAAGUGGUACGCGAGCUGGGUUUAGAACGUCGUGAGACAGUUCGGUCCCUAUCUGCCGUGGGCGCUGGAGAACUGAGGGGGGCUGCUCCUAGUACGAGAGGACCGGAGUGGACGCAUCACUGGUGUUCGGGUUGUCAUGCCAAUGGCACUGCCCGGUAGCUAAAUGCGGAAGAGAUAAGUGCUGAAAGCAUCUAAGCACGAAACUUGCCCCGA